RNAcentral lists this ribosomal RNA (577 nucleotides) under uncultured bacterium. Its description in RNAcentral is "partial 16S ribosomal RNA". It matches the Rfam family "Bacterial small subunit ribosomal RNA", at positions 355 to 922 of the family's 1533-position model. The record is from RNAcentral.
UGGGGAAUAUUGCACAAUGGGCGCAAGCCUGAUGCAGCCAUGCCGCGUGUGUGAAGAAGGCCUUCGGGUUGUAAAGCACUUUCAGCGAGGAGGAAGGUGGUGAGCUUAAUACGCUCAUCAAUUGACGUUACUCGCAGAAGAAGCACCGGCUAACUCCGUGCCAGCAGCCGCGGUAAUACGGAGGGUGCAAGCGUUAAUCGGAAUUACUGGGCGUAAAGCGCACGCAGGCGGUUUGUUAAGUCAGAUGUGAAAUCCCCGGGCUCAACCUGGGAACUGCAUUUGAAACUGGCAAGCUAGAGUCUCGUAGAGGGGGGUAGAAUUCCAGGUGUAGCGGUGAAAUGCGUAGAGAUCUGGAGGAAUACCGGUGGCGAAGGCGGCCCCCUGGACGAAGACUGACGCUCAGGUGCGAAAGCGUGGGGCAGCAAACAGGAUUAGAUACCCUGGUAGUCCACGCUGUAAACGAUGUCGAUUUUGGAGGUUGUGCCCUUGAGGCGUGGCUUCCGGAGCUAACGCGUUAAAUCGACCGCCUGGGGAGUACGGCCGCAAGGUUAAAACUCAAAGGAAUUGACGGGGUCAU